RNAcentral lists this ribosomal RNA (771 nucleotides) under uncultured Vagococcus sp. Its description in RNAcentral is "bacterial SSU rRNA". It matches the Rfam family "Bacterial small subunit ribosomal RNA", at positions 28 to 776 of the family's 1533-position model. Lineage: Bacteria; Bacillati; Bacillota; Bacilli; Lactobacillales; Enterococcaceae. The record is from RNAcentral.
GACGAACGCUGGCGGCGUGCCUAAUACAUGCAAGUCGAACGCACGAAGUUGAAGAGCUUGCUCUUUAACCAAGUGAGUGGCGGACGGGUGAGUAACACGUGGGUAACCUGCCCAUUAGAGGGGGAUAACAUUCGGAAACGGAUGCUAAUACCGCAUAGUUUCAGGAAUCGCAUGAUUCUUGAAGGAAAGGUGGCUUCGGCUACCACUAAUGGAUGGACCCGCGGCGUAUUAGCUAGUUGGUGAGGUAAUGGCUCACCAAGGCAAUGAUACGUAGCCGACCUGAGAGGGUGAUCGGCCACACUGGGACUGAGACACGGCCCAGACUCCUACGGGAGGCAGCAGUGGGGAAUCUUCCGCAAUGGACGAAAGUCUGACGGAGCAACGCCGCGUGAGUGAAGAAGGUUUUCGGAUCGUAAAACUCUGUUGUUAAAGAAGAACAAGGAUGAGAGUAACUGCUCAUCCCCUGACGGUAUUUAACCAGAAAGCCACGGCUAACUACGUGCCAGCAGCCGCGGUAAUACGUAGGUGGCAAGCGUUGUCCGGAUUUAUUGGGCGUAAAGCGAGCGCAGGCGGUUCUUUAAGUCUGAUGUGAAAGCCCCCGGCUCAACCGGGGAGGGUCAUUGGAAACUGGAGAACUUGAGUGCAGAAGAGGAGAGUGGAAUUCCACGUGUAGCGGCGAAAUGCGUAGAUAUGUGGAGGAACACCAGUGGCGAAGGCGACUCUCUGGUCUGUAACUGACGCUGAGGCUCGAAAGCGUGGGGAGCAAACAGG